Molecule: ribosomal RNA, 492 nt
Filed under: uncultured bacterium
Lineage: Bacteria
Description: partial 16S ribosomal RNA
Rfam family: Bacterial small subunit ribosomal RNA
Source: RNAcentral
AGUGAACGCUGGCGGUAGGCCUAACACAUGCAAGUCGAACGGCAGCACAGUAAGAGCUUGCUCUUACGGGUGGCGAGUGGCGGACGGGUGAGGAAUACAUCGGAAUCUACUUUUUCGUGGGGGAUAACGUAGGGAAACUUACGCUAAUACCGCAUACGACCUACGGGUGAAAGCAGGGGAUCUUCGGACCUUGCGCGAUUGAAUGAGCCGAUGUCGGAUUAGCUAGUUGGCGGGGUAAAGGCCCACCAAGGCGACGAUCCGUAGCUGGUCUGAGAGGAUGAUCAGCCACACUGGGACUGAGACACGGUCCAGACUCCUACGGGAGGCAGCAGUGGGGAAUAUUGGACAAUGGGCGCAAGCCUGAUCCAGCCAUACCGCGUGGGUGAAGAAGGCCUUCGGGUUGUAAAGCCCUUUUGUUGGGAAAGAAAAGCAGCAGGUUAAUACCCCGCUGUUCUGACGGUACCCAAAGAAUAAGCAACGGCUAACUUCGUG